Molecule: unclassified non-coding RNA, 201 nt
Filed under: plant metagenome
Description: partial contains small subunit ribosomal RNA, internal transcribed spacer 1, and 5.8S ribosomal RNA
Source: RNAcentral
UCUCCGUGGGUGAACCAGCGGAGGGAUCAUUAUCGAGUUUAUAACUCCCAAACCCUAUGUGAACUGACCAGUUGUUGCUUCGGCGCGCGCGUCGGCGCUGCCGAGGAAACUUAAACUCUUUGUUUUUAUAAGCAUUUCUGAGUGGCCGAAAGGCAAACUACAAAUGAAGCAAAACGUUCAACAACGGAUCUCUUGGUUCUG